CACAUUUGGUAUACCUUCUCCUAAAUUGCCAUGGCCAUGUGACUCUGUGUACUCACACUUGUACUGAUAGAAAGAUGUUGUAGGUGAAGGAAGUGCCGCAUCAGGUUGUGCUACUGAUUGUUCGAGGUUAAUCUCCAACUGAUUCAGCUGUCAUGGUAUUAAAGGGUCUUCUUAAUGUUGCAUAUUUGAAGAGCUACAUGUACAGGUCCACUUAAAGUAUCCAAAUCGCUCUCCCCUACCUCCCUUCUAUGGUUCUACCCAAGUUUAUGUUUGUUCUAAUUAUUCUGGAAAAAAGAAAAAAGAAUUGGAUGUUCUCGAUAAUGCCUUGUGAGCAAAAUGACUUUUAGUUGUUUCUUAAGCUGAUAUUUUGUUUGGUUCCUAGUUUAUUCUGCCUGGUGAACCUAGCAUUUGCAGUUUCACGGAGAUAUCAUCAACUCCUUUGGUUUCAAAGGUAAAGGAAAAAAAUUGCACAAAUGCAGGUAUGCAAUCAAAUUUACUUCUUUGGAUAGGAUUGUAUUCUCAUGCUCUAUUUGCUCUUAGUUUUCAGCAUUCUUCAUUUAGGUGAUUACUACUGUACUUAAGUAUAAAUUGUUUAGGUGUUUUCACAAGUAUUUGAAGGAGCUAUAUUGCAAUAAUGGACUCUAUGGAAUAGACUACAUAAAGUCCUGACCUAAUUCACAACAUUAUAUCUAGUUAUGGAUGCAUAUUCUUCGUGUGACAACUCUUUUCUCUUUCUUUUCAACCGGUCCUUGUACUGAAAUCUUCGUGCAACAUUCUCUCUCCUAUGAUAGCCAUUGUAGCUCCCAACCGAGCGAUUACUGUAUCAUGUCAUUGCUGGAUAUGUAGCUGAUUUAGGCAGGCGAGCGCGAGCAAUGCACUGAGUGCCGCUCUCCACAGCUCUGGUUGGUACCUGUCUCCCCCCUAUACCGGCCUCCCUUUUGACAUAACCAUUGCAUUCUUGGCAUCUGAAGCAUGUUACAUGGUGCUUUUUAAUAAUCCUGUUCAAUUGUAUGAAUGAAUAAACAACAAUGUGCCUUAGGCAGUGCAAGCCUCUCUGCAUCAAUGAUUCAAAACUGAUCCAUUGCUGCAGCUAAGCAAAGGAGAAGACUUUUGCAAAUUAAACGCCCAGCACAAACAAGCAGCUAGACUCGUGCAUUCUUUGGGAUCUUCUGACAUUUCCCAUUGCUUAAGUACUAUGAAGCACCAACAUUUCUACGAAGGAGCCGUACCCGUGUCGUGUCUAUGUUGGAUACCAACACACAUCAAAUACUCUUUGGAUACGUGUCCGAAACUUCGUAUACGUGGUUGUAAAUAAAAAUAAAUUUUUAUUUUUUAUUUUUUUAUUUUGGAUAGUGUCCGCCAACAUUUAGGCUGACGCUUUCAAAUAUUUCUAAAACAAGUCCAUCUAGUAAUCUUGAAAAUAAUAUGAACAUAUUAAACUUUUUUCUUUAAGAAAAAAUUUAUAUUAUACACACAUGAUCACAAGCAAAACAUUGAACGAGUGAUAUUUGUUCAUUUAAAAUAAAUACACAUUAUGACAAAGUAGUGGAAUAAAUACUGUAGAUAUGAUAUAAAAAUCAUUACAACUCUCAGAAUAAAAUUAAUAAUGAAUUAAAGUUUUAUAAUAUUAUUAAUCAAUAUAUAUAUAUAUAUAUAUAUAUAUAUAUAUAAAUAUAUAAAUAAAUAUUUAUAUUUAUAAAUCAUACACGUGGGCUUCGUCCUACUUUUUUAAAAUUUAGCGUGCCAAUGUAUCCAUACUCCUUAAGUAACAUAAGCCAUCUGCACUGCCAAGACGUUAGAAUAAUAGUCAUGGACACCCCCUAGACAUGAGUUCAAUUCAUGGUCAUGUCCAAAAUUUAAAAAUAAGUUUUUUAAUUUCAAAUACUUGUCCCGGCGACCGAAGCCCCGGUGAACGGCGGCCGUAACUAUAAUGGUCCUAAGGUAGCGAAAUUUCUUGUCGGGUAAGUUCCAACCCGCACAAAAGACGUAUUUUGAACAUUUGGUCAACACAUUCAAUUACAUGGCAGCGUGGAGACUGAAGACAAACAUAUACCAAAGCGUUAAAACCUUUUUUUUAAAAAAAAAAAAAAAAAAUACCCAAAAACAAAAGAGAAUGACAUUAAACCGAUGUCACCUAUAUAAUAAACUAAAGCAUGACAACAUAGGAUGGUAAUAUGAUAUACAAUAUUUUUUAUAUUCAAAUAUCUCUAUAAUGACAACGUAGGAAAGUAAUAUGAUAUUUUAUAUUUUAUAUUUUUUUAAUAUUCGAAUAGCUUCAUCGGGUAGUACUUACAUUGCUUACAAUUUUUUAAAUCACAAAUAGUAAUAAAUGAAUUGUGACACUGAAAGUUAACACAUUCAGAUUAUAUUUAUAUAAAUAGAAAUGACAUGUCAUCAAUUAUAAUGAUAACAUUAUUUUCCACUCUCAUAAAAAAAUUCUUUGUAUUUGACUCUCAAAUUAUAUAUCCGCUCAUUUUCCUAAAUAAAGACUUCUUAUUUGUCUUUUUAAUUUUAUUUUAGAUCUCUCACUUUUGAGACAAUUUCACAUGGUACGGUCAACUUUUUUUUUUUUUUUUUUUGACUUGGGCCACUUCCAUAUGCUAGUCAAGUUAUGUGAUGUUCGUAGAAUGGCCCGCCAAAAAUGAUGGUGUAAUGGGCUUCGACUUUAGAAAAAUUACAAUGUUCAUUACUAAGGGCCUGUUUGAGAGGUGUUCUAUUGUGUUUUGUAAUGUUCCAGAUCCGCUACAGUAACUCACUUUGAGAACAAAAUAUAUUUAGGCCGGCCUGUGUUGGUUUCAACAAUGCUAGAACAUUUUCUAAAAAUGAGCCAAAAGUUGGAACAUCAAUUUGGUGUUCUGGAUUGUUCCAAAUAUCUAGCCGGCCCAAAAAUCACUGGGUGCAACAAAUGCACCCACUAUUUGAGAACAUGUAUAAAGAGAAAUUGGGUACAUGUUGCAGGGCUAGGGUUCUCGCGCAGUUGAGGCGAUUAGGCGACUCCAGUACGGCUGAUGUCUUCUACAAAUCGACGACCCUAUUUCAUGAUUGGGCUUGAAAUCGACGACUGUGUCUGAAGAUCUGAAGAGCUCUCCCUUCAUCGCGUCUCUCUCUACUCUCGGAUUAUCUUCUCUCUUCUCCGGCUGAUUUACCCCAACGAGAAACGCUUGCAGCCGUCUGCAACUUCCAGCUAGCUCCAGUCUUCUUCUUCGGCGAUGGAUUGACAAGAAAAUUUCCAGAAUCUCCCCAAGCUCUCUACCUCUAUUUCCUCAUCUCUCUCAUCUCGGGUAUGUUUUAGUUUUUCUAGGUUUGCUUUAUGCUUUCAAAUCAUACUUAAUAACAAUAAUGUUGAAGCAUUUUAUCAAUCAACGAAGAUGAUUCCUCAUCUUAACAAAUAGGCAUGAAAAUGAGAUUCACAUUGAAGAAGGUAAUAGAUUUAGGAAAUAUAACAGAGAAACAAACUUCAGUUUUCUAAAAUUUUUAAGAACUAUUACAAAUAAUAUAUCUCUGACUGAAUAGGAUAUCCGUAAUUUGUUUGUACGCAUUACCUUGAUUGGCUCUUUGAUUUCUAUCUGUAGAAUACUAGCCUACUCUCUGAUCAACUAGAGUUAUUUUAUAAUUUUGUUUUUAAUUUUUUUGAGAGAAUUUUUAAUCAAUAUAUGCAUGUUUGAAAUCGGUAUUUGCAAUCAAUUCAAUAAAAAGAGUUUUGCAAAAAUCUGCGUAUGUGAAGUUAUAGGCUGUGGAUAUGAAGUUUUUUUUUAAUGGACUGAGUAGAAUAUUGCUCUAUUAGUUAAUGUCUAUGAUUUUUUUUCUUUUUCCCUUCCUCCAUACUUUACAUAUGUAUGUUAAUACUAUAUAUAUCAUACACACAAAUUCAAAUUUUUUUUUUUUUUGUUUCUGUGUUUGUCUUCAUUUAGUUGAUAGAAACCAAGAAGGGAUCUUUCCCAUGUAGCUAAAAUGAAUACUUUCAAAGGAAAGGAUUAAGGUUCAGUGGGAAGAAUCCAUAUGUUGGUCAAUUAGAAUGUUAUUUGAAUUGGUUUCUUUUGAUGAACUUACAUAGUUACAUGGUUAUUAGUUGCUUAGAGUUAUAAUGAAAUGAUUGCUUUUUGAAUCCUUAAAACUUUACCUCUGAUUAUUGUGAAAAGAAAAGCACCUUAAUAAAAUAGAAUUUACCUUAUUGUUUUAAAACAUCUUACAUAAAUCAUUGGCUUGCACUCUAUUUUUAAUGCAUGAAUUAUUGAAACUACUGAUCAGAAAAUCUUACAUAUGAAUUGGUAAAGUUGUGACUUCCAAUAAUUUUCUACAUUUGUGCUUUUAUGAUAUUAUUCAAUUCUGAUUGAAAAUAAGGUUUGGAGAGUAUGUUUUAGUUAAGCUUUUGUUCUUAUGCAAACAAGUAAUUACAAACAAAAAUUUAGUCAUGGUAUGUAGAUUUAUUAGAAAACUGGUUCAGCUGAUGUGUAGUAAUCUAGUAGAUGGGAUAAGUUCCUAUUUUCCUUUCUAUUUUGGGUCUGCAGUGUGGUUCUUGUGUGACCCUACUUGUUGCUAUUAGUACUUGUUGCUCUUAGUAUAAAUUUUUUUUGUUUUAUAUCUUAGUUGCGGAAUAUAUUCAUGUUUAAUUUGAAUUAGAAAAUGUGGAAUCUGAAAAAAUCUUUGUAUUUUAGUGUUAACAUAAUGAAAAAUAUUGCCAGAUCGAUUAGUAACAUAGGACAAAGACAAAAUAUUUUUAUUUUACUUUGUUUUUUAGUGUUAACAUAAGACCAUGUUGCAAUUACCACAUAUGAUAGUUUAAAAAAGAAAGAUAGAAGAAUGUCACUGAACAUGCAUAAUUUAUGGGACAGCUGUUGUUAAUGACCCUUUUAAAACUAUGUAAUUAGAUGGAUAUGAAUGGUGAGAAUGUGGUUGGAGAAGAAAUAGAGGACCUUACAGACAAUACCGAUGAUGGAAAACUAGUAUGGGAUGAUUCUCAGCUCGAAGCUUUCAUCAUCUGUAUGGAGGAAGAAGUGAAAGUUGGUAAUCAGAGUAGCGAAACUUUUUGCCCUGCUAGUUGGAAGAAUAUAGUAAAAGGCAUAAGGGUCCGUACAGGGAAGAAGUAUGAACUGAAACAACUUAGGAGCAAAUUCAACCACGUGAGGGUAUAGUACAAAGCCUUUGUGAGUUUGUUAACAGAAACAGGCGUAUGAUACAAUGCUGAGACGAGCAUAGUUAUAGUUGAAAUAGAAAGAUGGCCUAGAUUGAUGAAGGUUAGUUAUUCAAAUAAAUGUAUAUUUAUUUGAGAAAUGUAUACUUAACCUAAUAUUAAUAGUACUUUAAUAAUUUGUAGGUGAAUGCCUAUGAUGGUAAGGUUCGAAAGAAGGGAUGGAAGCAUUUUGACAAGCUCACCACCAUAUUUGGAGGCACACACGCUUCAGGUGCACAUGUCCAUGCUUCGACUAAUCCACCCAUUAUCAACUAAGCCCGCGCACACCAUGCAGCCAUACAUAGCUCAUUUGAAAUUGAUGAUUUACCUCAGUUAGGAGGUCAUGAGAUCAGUCCCUCUCCUUAACCUCGUGGUAAGAAACCAAAGAAAGAGAGUUUUGCCUCCACAAUGAGCGAUGUCAUGCGUGAAAUGAAAGAUAUUGAACGAGAGAAAUGUGAUCGAAUUGAAAGGGCCUAAAAGAAGCUUCAUCAUCUAAUAUGAAAAUAGUCCAUGAAGAAUGUCAGGUUGAAGUAAAUUAUCCGGACAAGACAAAAUGUGAUUUUAAGUUAUGUUGUAGUAUUUUGAAUAAGUUGGAGGGCGUUGAUAUGAAACAAUAUGCUAAGGUCACCCAGAUGUUACGUAAUGAUGAAGUUUGGAGGAAGUUCUUUCUAAAUGGCUUUCCUGAUGAUAAGAGGGUUGGUUGGAUUAUGAAUCUUUGAUUUGGUGUGUUGCUUUUAUUAUGACUUUGGAUGAUUGUACUAUUAAGUAUACUUUAUUUGGUUUGUUACUUUUAUUUCUUAUUUGGUUUUGUUAUGACUUUGGAUGAUUGUAAUAUUAAGUACACUAGUAUUUAUGUUAUUGGGAUGAUUAUAAUGACAAUAUCAGUAUUUGGCUUGAGAUGAUUUUAUUUGCUA
This is a long non-coding RNA of Cornus florida, 6084 nucleotides long. RefSeq lists it as uncharacterized. The transcript is spliced from 2 exons. NCBI's taxonomy places the organism in Eukaryota, Viridiplantae, Streptophyta, Magnoliopsida, Cornales, Cornaceae. The record is from RefSeq and is a predicted model, not a curated record.